Molecule: long non-coding RNA, 443 nt
Filed under: Pan troglodytes (chimpanzee)
Lineage: Eukaryota; Metazoa; Chordata; Mammalia; Primates; Hominidae
Description: long non-coding RNA NONPTRT013993
Source: RNAcentral
CCUCCCACACUCCGCUAUUCUGAGCUCUUCAAGGGCAAGGGGUGGCCUAGACCGGGUACUCUAGUCAAUUUACAAUAGUUUCAAAGUAUGAUUCAAUUAUUGUGUGAGAAAAUAUGCAGUUUCCAGAGUUCCCAGGGGCAGCCUGGAGGGUUCUGGAUGAAUCCUACAUUAUGAAUUUUCUAAGUAUUAGUCUGUAUGUGUUUGUUAAGACUGUGCGUUCUCUGAGGGUGGAGCCCAUGCCAUGCCCAUCCCUGCAUCUUUUCACACAAAGUACAUAACAAGCACUUGGCACCACUAAAGGCUGAAAGAAUGUUUGCACAGUGAAUAAGAAAAAAGCAGAACAACAAACUAACCUAUUAACACAUUCAUUGAUUAGGCUACCUGUUUAUAGUUUAAUAAAAGGGUCAACUGAAAAUGGAUUUUAAAAGUUGAAUAGCGUGCAA